GACGAACGCUGGCGGCGUGCUUAACACAUGCAAGUCGAACGGAAAGGCCCUGCUUUUGUGGGGUGCUCGAGUGGCGAACGGGUGAGUAACACGUGAGUAACCUGCCCUUGACUUUGGGAUAAAUUCAGGAAACUGGGGCUAAUACCGGAUAGGAGCUCCUGAUGCAUGGUGGGGGUUGGUAAGUUACGGCGGUUGGGGAUGGACUCGCGGCUUAUCAGCUUGUUGGUGGGGUAGUGGCUUACCAAGGCUUUGACGGGUAGCCGGCCUGAGAGGGUGACCGGCCACAUUGGGACUGAGAUACGGCCCAGACGCCUACGGGAGGCAGCAGUGGGGAAUAUUGCACAAUGGGCGGAAGCCUGAUGCAGCAACGCCGCGUGCGGGAUGACGGCCUUCGGGUUGUAAACCGCUGUCGCCUGUGACGAAGCGUGAGUGACGGUAAUGGGUAAAGAAGCACCGGCUAACUACGUG
This 468-nucleotide ribosomal RNA is filed under the name uncultured bacterium. RNAcentral describes it as "partial 16S ribosomal RNA". It matches the Rfam family "Bacterial small subunit ribosomal RNA", at positions 28 to 507 of the family's 1533-position model. The record is from RNAcentral.